RNAcentral lists this transfer RNA (84 nucleotides) under Caenorhabditis japonica. Its description in RNAcentral is "tRNA CJA46646". The record is from RNAcentral. Lineage: Eukaryota; Metazoa; Nematoda; Chromadorea; Rhabditida; Rhabditidae.
CAAAACCUGUGCGAGUGGUCUAAGGCGCUGCGUUCAGGUCGCAGUCCUCUCCGGAGGGCGCAGGUUCGAAUCCUGCGGAUGACA